UACGUAGGGUGCAAGCGUUGUCCGGAAUUAUUGGGCGUAAAGAGCUUGUAGGCGGUUUGUCGCGUCUGCCGUGAAAAUUCGAGGCUCAACCUCGAACUUGCGGUGGGUACGGGCAGACUAGAGUGUGGUAGGGGAGACUGGAAUUCCUGGUGUAGCGGUGGAAUGCGCAGAUAUCAGGAGGAACACCGAUGGCGAAGGCAGGUCUCUGGGCCACUACUGACGCUGAGAAGCGAAAGCAUGGGGAGCGAACAGG
Molecule: ribosomal RNA, 253 nt
Filed under: uncultured bacterium
Lineage: Bacteria
Description: partial 16S ribosomal RNA
Rfam family: Bacterial small subunit ribosomal RNA
Source: RNAcentral